Trachemys scripta elegans is the source of this 2017-nucleotide long non-coding RNA. RefSeq lists it as uncharacterized. Lineage: Eukaryota; Metazoa; Chordata; Testudines; Emydidae. The record is from RefSeq and is a predicted model, not a curated record. The transcript is spliced from 5 exons.
UCCCACCCCCCUAGCUUCUCCACCACCAAACACACCUGGGAGCUGCUCCCCUCCUCCCCUGCUCAGCCUGCCCUCCCCCCACCCCUGGCCCUGCUCCCCAAACACAUCUGGGGGCUACCCUUCCUUCCCUUGCUCCUCCCACCUGGCUGUACCCUGUACCCCCAAACACUCUGGGGGGCUGCCCUGGCCCUCCUGCCCUGCUAAAACCCACCUGCCCAGCUCCACACCCCCAAACACCUCUGGGGGUUGCCCUUUCCCCCAGCCCUGCUCAUCCCACCUGGCUGUGCCCCCCCAUCCCCAAACACACCUGGGGGCUGUUCUGGCGCUACUCAAUCCACCUAGCUGGCUGUGCCCUCAGUUCACUGCUGCCCAGCCCCCUACCUUCCAAACACACACGUAACUGGGGGCAGUCCUCCUCCAUCAGCACCACUGGAACAACCCCACCUAGCUGUGCCUUCUGCCCAGCUCCCAGGCCCCAAACACGCACCCCUGGGGGCUGCCCUGCUCAACCCACACCACCUGGCUGUACCUUCAGCCAAGUCGUGCCCAACAAUCCCCUGAAACACACACAUAUACAUACCUGGGGACUGCUCCCCCCCCCCUUGGGCGUUGUCUGCUCUAUUAGUCAAAAAACAAUCUCUGCCAGCUGUUAGGCCUUGCCUGACACUCAUCUGGGACUGCUCCUUAUCCACAUUCCAAGGAGUGUCUUGUUCUCGUCCCAGCUCAGACGAGUGACCCGAUUUUAAAAGUCACUUUCUGAAUAACAAGGCGCUUUGUCCUUGCUCCCAUCACCACAGAUAAAGGGCAUCUUAUCUGCCUGCCGCCUGAUAAGAUGGCGCUUUCCGGAUUACUGGGGAAAGUGGUGAAUUUAGUGCUGGUGAAUGGUGCUGAAUUAUGUGACCUUCGGCUGAGACAUGAAAGAUGCUGGAUUGGAAGUUCUGGAGCCUGAAGCUUCCUAUUUACUACAGAACAGGUGUCCACAUCACAGAAACGAUCUGCUAGAUAAUGCACUGAGACCACCAACCAACCAACUGGUAACAGUCCUUCAGCACUAUCAGCCUGGCAGAAGACUGAAUCAGUAAUCUAGAGAUGAGAGGAAAGGUGGCAAUUGCUAACUAAAAUUAGAAGAUGUGGACUCAGAAAUCACUUGCGAGGCCUGUAAAGAGAACUUACGAUGAGCAAUUUCCUGCUGUGAGAAUGAACGGGCUGAAUUCUGAGAAGCAUCAUGUUCCAUCUGGGGCUCUGUGGACAGCCUUCUAUUCCUGGAUCCAUCCCAGAAGCUCAAGCUCCUGAAACUGCAGUGGGCACUGAGCCAGCAACAAGGAGAGAUUUAAUCGGCGUCCGAGCAGGUUCAGAAUGACAGUGUAGUGUGCAUUUGGUAGAUGGUAAGGAUGUUAACCAGGCUGGAUCUCACCAAGGCAAAUAUCCCGAUGGUUGUCGCUGCAUGGUGUGUUUUACAAAAUAUCCAUAAAGCAAAGGGGGAAACCGUCGCUGGCAGGGUGGGGGGAAGUGGAAAGGCCGUCUGCUGACUUCGAACAGCCGUGACUCAAGGGCCCAUUGUGGUGCUGGGCAGUUGAAGAAGGCCUUGUGCUUUGACCGUGCCCCAUCCUCAGGCAGUAUGCUGCUUUGUGUUAAUUUGUAUCCUUUCGUGAUUCAGCAGUAGUUGGCUGGCAUCUGAAUUGUCGAUUAACGGUUUUGGAGGUUGCGUGGCUGUCUUGCAAGACCAAAUAAAUACAUCUUGAUUGUCCCCGACUCAGAGCUCCAGAGGUGACCGGAGAACAUGCCCUUCCUUGACCUUUUCUUCUUCCUUCUGCUCAAGGUCAGUUUUUCAGCAGGUGCAGAAGGGGUACCCCCGUUGAGGCCACUGCUAACAACAGGCCAGAUAGACAUUGUUAGAUUUAAAGAGUUGGCAGAUAGGAAAAGAGAGAGAAAAAUCUUCCUAAAAGGCUCCCAUAAAGAUCUUAAUAAAACAAUGAACAGCAUCAGGCUAGCUUCAGAGCCGCUGACUUUAGGACAG